This 615-nucleotide ribosomal RNA is filed under the name uncultured bacterium. Its description in RNAcentral is "bacterial SSU rRNA". The stretch from base 1 to 540 matches the Rfam family "Bacterial small subunit ribosomal RNA", at positions 338 to 873 of the family's 1533-position model. The record is from RNAcentral.
CCUACGGGAGGCAGCAGUGGGGAAUUUUGGACAAUGGGCGAAAGCCUGAUCCAGCCAUGCCGCGUGAGUGAAGAAGGCCUUCGGGUUGUAAAGCUCUUUCAGCCGGAAAGAAAUCGCGCAGGCUAAUACUCUGCGUGGAUGACGGUACCGGAAGAAGAAGCACCGGCUAACUACGUGCCAGCAGCCGCGGUAAUACGUAGGGUGCGAGCGUUAAUCGGAAUUACUGGGCGUAAAGCGUGCGCAGGCGGUUAUAUAAGACAGAUGCGAAAUCCCCGGGCUCAACCUGGGAACUGCGUUUGUGACUGUAUGACUAGAGUACGGCAGAGGGAGGUGGAAUUCCGCGUGUAGCAGUGAAAUGCGUAGAUAUGCGGGGGAACACCGAUGGCGAAGGCAGCCUCCUGGGCCAGUACUGACGCUCAUGCACGAAAGCGUGGGGAGCAAACAGGAUUAGAUACCCUGGUAGUCCACGCCCUAAACGAUGUCAACUAGUUGUUCGGUGAGGAGACUNAUUGAGUAACGNAGCACGCGNGAGUAGACGCCGNGGAGACGGCGCGAGUAAACGUACAANAGAGUAGAGACGUGAGACGNGCGACGGACGACGACGAGGGGAGGAGG